GGGGAAUAUUGCACAAUGGGGGAAACCCUGAUGCAGCAACGCCGCGUGAGCGAUGAAGGUUUUCGAAUCGUAAAGCUCUGUCCUAAGGGAAGAUAAUGACGGUACCUUAGGAGGAAGCCCCGGCUAACUACGUGCCAGCAGCCGCGGUAACACGUAGGGGGCAAGCGUUAUCCGGAAUUAUUGGGCGUAAAGGGUGCGUAGGCGGCCUUAUGGGUCAGAGGUUAAAUACUAUAGCUUAACUAUAGUCCGCCUUUGAAACUAUAAGGCUUGAGUGCAGGAGAGGAGAGUGGAAUUCCUAGUGUAGCGGUGAAAUGCGUAGAUAUUAGGAGGAAUACCAGUGGCGAAGGCGACUCUCUGGACUGCAACUGACGCUAAGGCACGAAAGCGUGGGUAGCGAAC
This 399-nucleotide ribosomal RNA is filed under the name uncultured bacterium. Its description in RNAcentral is "bacterial SSU rRNA". It matches the Rfam family "Bacterial small subunit ribosomal RNA", at positions 356 to 773 of the family's 1533-position model. The record is from RNAcentral.